Oncorhynchus tshawytscha (Chinook salmon) is the source of this 657-nucleotide long non-coding RNA. The record is from Ensembl. NCBI's taxonomy places the organism in Eukaryota, Metazoa, Chordata, Actinopteri, Salmoniformes, Salmonidae.
GGAGAGGUAAUAUAGUAAUCGUGUUGCAGAGAGAGAGGUAAUGUAGUAAUAGUGUUGCAGAGAGAGAGAGUAGGGUAAUAUAGUAAUAGUGUUGCAGAGAGAGAGAGGUAAUGUAGUAAUAGUGUUGCAGAGAGAGUAGGGUAAUAUAGUAAUAGUGUUGCAGAGAGAGGUAAUAUAGCAAUAGUGUUGCAGAGAGAGAGAGAGGUAAUAUAGUAAUAGUGUUGCAGAGAGAGAGAGAGAGGUAAUAUAGUAAUAGUGUUGCAGAGAGAGAGAGAGGUAAUAUAGUAAUAGUGUUGCAGAGAGAGAGAGAGGUAAUAUAGUAAUAGUGUUGCAGAGAGAGAGAGGUAAUAUAGUAAUAGUGUUGCACAGAGAGAGAGAGGUAAUAUAGUAAUAGUGUUGCAGAGAGAGAGAGUAGGGUAAUAUAGUAAUAGUGUUGCAGAGAGAAAGAGGUAAUAUAGUAAUAGUGUUGCAGAGAGAGAGAAAGAGGUAAUAUAGUAAUAGUGUUGCAGAGAGAAAGAGGUAAUAUAGUAAUAGUGGUGCAGAGAAAGAGAAAGAGGUAAUAUAGUAAUAGUGUUGCAGAGAGAGAGAGAGAGAGAGGUAAUAUAGUAAUCGUGUUGACGAGAGAGGUAAUAUAGUAAUCGUGUUGACGAGAGAGAG